Molecule: RNA transcript, 2286 nt
Organism: Oncorhynchus keta (chum salmon)
Lineage: Eukaryota; Metazoa; Chordata; Actinopteri; Salmoniformes; Salmonidae
Gene name: nucleoporin SEH1-like
Exons: 3
Source: RefSeq, a predicted model, not a curated record
CAAAACAGGGAUCUGUUUCAGCCUUUCAAACCUCCAGGCUAAAAUGUUAAACGUUUGAGAGCAUCUUUUAACUGACUUCACCAGUUUAUUAUGUCAUUCUACGCUGCAACUUGACAAUGACCACUAGAGUUGGCCAGGCAGCGCCAACAGGUUUGGGACCGGGCUAAAAGUCUAUCCAGUCAUUUUAAAGCCAAUGGUUUAGCUGAAGGGAAACAGAACAGUGUCCGUCUCCUCGUGAACUGUGUAAAGUCCCCCACACAUUUACAGUGUUUCAUCGGUUCCCAUCUUCUGGUCCCCAGCCAACUAUAUGGACAACUGGAAGUGUACAGGCAUCCUGAAGGGAGACGGAAGUCCGGUCAACGGGUCGUCAGGACAACCCGGUGCCAUGAAUACCAUGGUGGGGUCCACUGUCCAGACCUCCCAGAAUGCACUGAACGGCUCUGCUGCAGGAAGGAACGGCCAGAGGAUCCCCUUUAGCCCUCGCCUGCGGAGCCUGACUGCCCCGAAGACACUCCACCAGCCUGCGUACUGUUAGCCUAAAGCCCGCUGAGCAGCGAGCACGCUGGUGACCAUGCAUGGACCAGGAUGCCACUGCUUCGGCAAUACUUCUAAUAGGUAUUUCUUCCCCCCUCUGGAUGCCCCCAGGGCAGGGUCCAGGUACGGCCACCUGCUGCCCCCCUUCUCUGAUAGAGCACUCUGAUGCCCAGUUCAGCCCCCACAGCCAGCUCCCCCAGUCCACCAUGGCCAUCCAUGGCCAGCCCCCCCAAUCCCCUCUGUCCCUGCACAGACUGUACUCACACUCUAGAGCCCUCAACACCCUGCCUGAACACGACUGACCCCCUAGAGCUCUCAACACUGACCCUGCCUUAACACGGCUGACCCUCUAGAGCCCUCAACACCCUGCCUGAACACAGCUGACCCUCUAGAGCCCUCGACACCCUGCCUGAACACGACUGACCCCCUAGAGCUCUCAACACUGACCCUGCCUUAACACGACUGACCCUCUAGGGCCCUCAAUACCCUGCCUGAACACGUCUGACCCUCUAGGGCCCUCAACACCCUGCCUGAACACAGCUGACCCUCUAGAGCCCUCGACACCCUGCCUGAACACGACUGACCCUCUAGAGCCCUCAACACCCUGCCUGAACACGACUGACUGGGAGGAUACUCUUCUUCUUAGUGACUAAUCAGAAGAAGACCUUCCCCUCUCCCAGAACAGUUUGGUUUGGUGCAUAAAACCAGUGAAUCUUCAUGAGCAAAAAUGUAAUGAUUUCUUAGCCAUUUUGUUUACGAUAUUCCCUCCAUAUGUAUACAGCCCUAGUGCUGACUGACAGUCUGACAGUCUGACAGUCUGACAGUCUGCCUCCCUGGCAGUCGGCCCAGAUGUAGCCUCCCAGAGUUGUGAGUGAUGAUUCUCUAGAUAUAUUUGAUCUGGGUUUUAUUUAAUUAAAAACCAACAUGCUGGUUUACUACGGUGCCUGGCGGUUCAAACUCACAUCACUGUGUUGGAAUGUGUCUUUACAAGACCGUGGCUCUGUGGGUGUAAUUAAUGUGGGUGUAAUUAAUGUGGGCGUAAUUCCUGUGUGGGUGUAAUUAAUGUGGGUGUAAUUCCUGUGGGCGUAAUUAAUGUGGGUGUAAUUCCCGUGGGUGUAAUUCCCGUGGGCGUAAUUCAUGUGGGUGUAAUUCCCGUGUGUUAUUCCUGUGUGUGUUAUUCCUGUGUGUGUUAUUCAUGUGGGUGUUAUUCAUGUGGGUGUAAUUCCUGUGGGUGUUAUUCAUGUGGGUGUAAUUCCUGUGGGUGUUAUUCAUGUGGGUGUAAUUCCUGUGGGUGUUAUUCAUGUGGGUGUAAUUCCCGUGGGUGUUAUUCAUGUGGGUGUAAUUCCUGUGGGUGUAAUUCACGUGAGUGUUAUUCCUGUGGGUGUUAUUCAUGUGAGUGUAAUUCCUGUGGGUGUAAUUCCUGUGGGUGUUAUUCACAUGGGUGUAAUUCCUGUGGGUGUAAUUCCUGUGGGUGUUAUUCCUGUGGGUGUUAUUCCUGUGGGUGUUAUUCACAUGGGUGUAAUUCCUGUGGGUGUAAUUCCUGUGGGUGUUAUUCCCGUGGGUGUUAUUCAUGUGGGUGUUAUUCAUGUGGGUGUAAUUCCUGUGCGUGUGUUUAAUUUCAAGCCUAAUGUUGUUGCAGUAAUGAAAUGGGGGCUAGUCGAUGCAUAUGAGAGAUUUGAAAGAAUAAAUGCUCAUUUUAAUGUCAAAACUGACUAUACCAUCACCACGGUAACAUUAAAACCCAACGCGGUU